Molecule: microRNA precursor, 118 nt
Filed under: Podarcis lilfordi (Lilford's wall lizard)
Lineage: Eukaryota; Metazoa; Chordata; Lepidosauria; Squamata; Lacertidae
Source: RNAcentral
CUUCCAGUAGCACCUUAGAGACCAACUAAGUUUGUUAUUGGUAUGAGCUUCCCUGUGCAUGUACACAAAAGGUCAUGCCAAUAACAAACUUAGUUGGUUUCUAAGGUGCUACUGGAAG